AUCCGUAAAUCCUACUGAUUUCUUUCUAUUUAUUAAUGAUUUAAAUUUGUCUAAGUUUGUCAUCUGAGAAACUUGAGAAGCUUGGGUGGACCUGCCUUGAGGCCUGUAGAGAAGACCCUGGGGCUGGGGGACAGCGUCGAAUCCUACAGAGCAUCUGGCAUCCUGAACUGAGCAUCCAACUGGGACAAGCUUGGUUGUUGAUCCUUGCCAAACUAGAAUUAUAUUGACCAUUUUUCAACACCCAUAUCAACUGCUGGUGUACAGAUUCAGAAUGGUACGAGAGUCAGACAUCCUCAGCUAGAUGAGUACGUCUUUCCAUGUCUCAGUUUGUUGGCGUCCGUCAAUGAAACUAAAGAAGUAUAGCAUGUCGAGAGUGGGAGACACAGAACUGUUCAUAUGAAAAUCAAUUCCAUUCAUUGACUGACCAUCAUGUUGAACUGAAAACAGGGGCCUGCUGGAACGACUGGAUCGCCGCAAC
RNAcentral lists this long non-coding RNA (478 nucleotides) under Triticum aestivum (bread wheat). RNAcentral describes it as "long non-coding RNA (TAES_LNC017342)". Lineage: Eukaryota; Viridiplantae; Streptophyta; Magnoliopsida; Poales; Poaceae. The record is from RNAcentral.